Non-coding RNA from Paramuricea clavata, 552 nucleotides. Lineage: Eukaryota; Metazoa; Cnidaria; Anthozoa; Malacalcyonacea; Plexauridae. The record is from the annotation of a GenBank genome assembly.
CUUUCGUACCCCGGAAUAUCUUGGAUUUCUUAAGUUGCAAGUCGUUCCUCGAUUUACGGGUACGGAUAUAUUACCCGUGUACCCGUAAACCGGAACCUGGCCCUGGGUUGGCCCUGGGUAUCUUAUAAGCUACGUUUACAUUCGUACGGGUUACUGGGUUAGCUUUCCGUAGCGACGUGAAAAAACACCUAUCCGCACCUUUUAGGAACGAUAUUUUCAGAGGAAUUAUUGCAACGGAGAGAUGUUGUUUAGUCUCAGCUUCUGAAAGUUGUACAUUCCGUAUCAGAUAGUUCAGUGCUUCUUCAUGCCGCUACGAAAAGCUAUCCGAUACAAGGCGUAGCUUUCUCUAAUAAAACACAAAACAAUAGACACUCCGAAAAUUGUAAACAUUUUUAAUCUUUACGUUUCGACUAUAAUUUAAGUCAUCUUCAGAAGAAACCCCUAUUGCUGGCCAGAGAAAAUAUCUAAAAAAUAUGCUCACUGAUAGGGGUGUCAGAAUUUCUGACACCCCUAUUGCUGGCCAGAGAGAACAUCUAACCCCCCCCCCACCCC